RNAcentral lists this ribosomal RNA (264 nucleotides) under uncultured bacterium. RNAcentral's name for it is "partial 16S ribosomal RNA". It matches the Rfam family "Bacterial small subunit ribosomal RNA", at positions 89 to 354 of the family's 1533-position model. The record is from RNAcentral.
UGGCGACCGGCGCACGGGUGAGUAACACGUAUCCAACCUGCCGAUGACUCGGGGAUAGCCUUUCGAAAGAAAGAUUAAUACCCGAUGGCAUAGUUCUUCCGCAUGGUAGAACUAUUAAAGAAUUUCGGUCAUCGAUGGGGAUGCGUUCCAUUAGCUUGUUGGCGGGGUAACGGCCCACCAAGGCAUCGAUGGAUAGGGGUUCUGAGAGGAAGGUCCCCCACAUUGGGACUGAGACACGGCCCAGACUCCUACGGGAGGCAGCAG